This 454-nucleotide ribosomal RNA is filed under the name uncultured Alphaproteobacteria bacterium. RNAcentral describes it as "bacterial SSU rRNA". It matches the Rfam family "Bacterial small subunit ribosomal RNA", at positions 9 to 509 of the family's 1533-position model. Lineage: Bacteria; Pseudomonadati; Pseudomonadota; Alphaproteobacteria. The record is from RNAcentral.
GAGUUUGAUCAUGGCUCAGAACGAACGCUGGCGGCAUGCCUAACACAUGCAAGUCGAACGAGACCUUCGGGUCUAGUGGCGCACGGGUGCGUAACGCGUGGGAAUCUGCCCUUGGGUUCGGAAUAACAGUUAGAAAUGACUGCUAAUACCGAAUGAUGUCUUCGGACCAAAGAUUUAUCGCCCAGGGAUGAGCCCGCGUCGGAUUAGCUAGUUGGUGAGGUAAAAGCUCACCAAGGCGACGAUCCGUAGCUGGUCUGAGAGGAUGAUCAGCCACACUGGGACUGAGACACGGCCCAGACUCCUACGGGAGGCAGCAGUGGGGAAUAUUGGACAAUGGGCGAAAGCCUGAUCCAGCAAUGCCGCGUGAGUGAUGAAGGCCUUAGGGUUGUAAAGCUCUUUUACCCGGGAUGAUAAUGACAGUACCGGGAGAAUAGGCCCCGGCUAACUCCGUGCC